Molecule: ribosomal RNA, 2873 nt
Filed under: Thermoplasmata archaeon
Lineage: Archaea; Methanobacteriati; Thermoplasmatota; Thermoplasmata
Description: bacterial LSU rRNA
Rfam family: Archaeal large subunit ribosomal RNA
Source: RNAcentral
GCUACUACGCCACAUGGGGGAUGGCUUGGCUCGGGCGCCGAUGAAGGUCGUGCCAAGCUGCGAUAUGCUCGGGGUAGGCGCAUGGAGCCUUUAAUCCCGGGAUCGCCGAAUGGGACCUCCUGACCCUUCGGGGUCAGUCCCUUAUGGGACAGGGAACGCCGGGAAUUGAAACAUCUUAGUACCGGCAGGAAAAGAAAUCAAUAGAGAUUCCGUGAGUAGGGGCGACCGAAAGCGGAAGAGGGCAAACCGAAUCCCCCGGGGAAACUCGGGGGAGAUGUGGAGUUGCAGGUCCCGUUAACCGCCUCCUCGUCCUACCUGAAGUCGGCUUGGAACGCCGCCCCAGAGAGGGUGAAAGGCCCGUAGGGGAAAGGAUGAGAGGCGGAUUUCGGGUUAACCUGAGUAGGGUACGUUGGAUAUCGUACCUGAAGCCGGGUGACAUAAACAUCCAACCCUAAAUACGUCCCGAGACCGAUAGCGCACUAGUAGCGUGAGUGAAAGCUGAAAAGUGCCCUUGACGGGAGGUGAAAAGAGCCUGAAACCAUGUGGCUACAGACUGAUACGGCGUGAAAGGGGAAGCACCCGAGAGGGUGUGGACCAGCGUCGUAUCGUGCGUUUCGAAUAACGCGCCAGGGAGUUCCGUCCAAUGGCGAGGCUAAGGGGGGAAACCCCGGAGCCGAAGGGAAACCGAACGUCCGCAGCCCCGUAAGGGGUCAGGGACGGGGUGCGCUCGCCCUUGAGUCAUUGGAGGGAGACCCGAAGCCCGUCGAUCUAUGCGUGGGUAGGUUGAAGCCUGGCGAAAGCCGGGUGGAGGACCGAACCGGUGCUGACGUGCAAAUCGUUCGGAUGACCUGCGCAUAGGGGUGAAAGGCCAAUCUAGGCGGGCAAUAGCUGGUUCCCCCCGAGACUACCCGCAGGUAGACCUCAGGGGAGGUAGUCCAUGUCGUAGAGCACCGAUUGGGUGUUUAGGGGGAGAAAUCCCUCGGCAUCCUAUCGAACUCCGAAGGCAUGGACGCCGUAGAUCCUGGGAGUUAGGGCGUCGGGAUAAGCUUGACGUCCGAAAGGGGAACAACCCAGCCCGGUGUUAAGGUCCCCAAGUGCUGGCUAAGUGUCAAAGAACAAAAGGCGUCCGUGGCCUAAGACAGCUGGGAGGUAGGCUUAGAAGCAGCCAUCCUUUAAAGAGUGCGUAACAGCUCACCAGCCGAGGUCAUGGGCACUGAAAAUGGACGGGGCUCAAGCCGGCCACCGAGACACCGGAGGGCCUACGGGCCGCUGGUAGGGGGGUGUCGGGCGCGGGUCGAAGCAGGGCCGUGAGGUCCUGUGGACCGCGUUCGAAUAAGGAUCCUGGCGAAAGUAGUAGCAGAGAACGGUGAGAAUCCGUUCCGCCGAAGGGGCCAGGGUUCCUCGACAAUGAUCAUCAGUCGAGGGUUAGUCGGUCCUAAGGCAGACCUUAAUCGGGUAUGCCGAAAGGGAAGCAGGUUAAUAUUCCUGCACCACAGUCCGUAUAUGCCCUGUAGGGUUCGCAUCGGGGUAGGCCGAGCAGGGGCGCCAACCUGUCCAAGCGUAUAAGCCCCCGGAGUGCUGUAAUGGCGAGAAGGGGGUGAAAGCGUGAUGGGGCUGCCGUAAGGCGGCUUCGGCUGAUCCCUGGUGCCCGUGAAAGCCCUUCAGGGUUCUCGGGCUGUGUCCGUACCGAGAACUGACACAGGUGCCCCUAGGUGAGAAGCCUAAGGCGUGCUGGGCAUAACCCGGGCGAGGGAACUCGGCAAAUUAGCCCCGUACCUUCGGUAGAAGGGGUGCCUGCCCUGCGAGGGGCAGGUCGCAGUGACAAGGGGGCUCCGACUGUUUAAUAAAAACAUAGGUGGCAGCAAGUCCGAAAGGAUGUGUAUUGCCGCUGAAUCCUGCCCAGUGCCGGUACCUGAAAGCCGGGUUCAACCGGAAGAAGGGCCGGUAAACGGCGGGGGUAACUAUGACCCUCUUAAGGUAGCGUAAUACCUUGCCGCUUAAUUGGCGGCUUGCACGAAUGGCCCAACGAGGGCCCCACUGUCCCCGCCCGGGACCCAACGAAAUCGACUUACUGGCGCACAGUCCAGUACCCCCCAGAAGGAAGCGAAGACCCCGUGGAGCUUUACUGCAGCCUGUCGCUGUUGUACGGGGCGGGAUGUGCAGCGUAGGUGGGAGCCGUCGAAGCCCGGGCGCUAGCUCGGGUGGAGGCGCCAAUGAGACACCACCCUUCUCGCUUCGUGCAACUUACCCCGAAAGGGGGACACCGAUAGGUGGGCAGUUUGGGUGGGGCGCCACGCCCUCGAAAAGAUAACAAGGGCGCCCAAAGGUCGGCUCAGGCAGGUCAGAAAUCUGCCGUUGAGUGUAAGGGCAAAAGCCGGCUUGACGUGAUUCCGCACAAUGAGGAAUCACGAUGCGAAAGCAGGGCCUAACGAACCAACCAGCCUCAUUUAUGGGGGCGGUUGAUAACAGAAAAGUUACCCCGGGGAUAACUGAGUUGUCUCCGGCAAGAGUUCAUAUCGACCCGGAGGCUUGCUACUUCGAUGUCGGCUCUUCCUAUCCUGGUGGUGCAGCAGCUGCCAAGGGUGGGGUUGUUCGCCCAUUAAAAGGGAUCGUGAGCUGGGUUUACACCGUCGCGAGACAGGUGUGUUGCUAUCUUCUGGGGGUGCGUUGGCCCCUGAGGGGAAGGGCCCUUUAGUACGAGAGGAACAAGGGCUCGCGGCCUCUAGUCUACCAGUUGUCCGGCAGGGCAACGCUGGGCAGCCACGCCGUAGGGGAUAAGAGCUGAAAGCAUCUAAGCUCGAAGCCCCCCCCGAAAAGAGGGGCCUUAGGGCUCCCGUAAAAGACGGGUUUGAUAGAGCCGGGGUGUAAGCACC